GUAAUAUUUGGGCCGUCGGUCUAUCGAACAAUAUUACCCGCUUAGUGGAAGAUCUUCCCUUUAUCUU
This 67-nucleotide microRNA precursor is filed under the name Bombyx mori (domestic silkworm). RNAcentral describes it as "mir-2774 microRNA precursor family". It matches the Rfam family "mir-2774 microRNA precursor family". Lineage: Eukaryota; Metazoa; Arthropoda; Insecta; Lepidoptera; Bombycidae. The record is from Rfam by way of RNAcentral.